CGAGUCGAGAGGGUUCGGCCCUCGGCUGACGGCUCAGUAACACGUGGAUAAUCUGCCCUUAGGUGGAGGAUAAUCUCGGGAAACUGAGGACAAUACUCCAUAGGUUUAGGAGGCUGGAAUGCAUCUAAACUGAAAGCUCCGGCGCCUAAGGAUGAGUCUGCGGACUAUCAGGUAGUAGUCAGGGUAAAGACCUGACUAGCCUACGACGGAUACGGGUUGUGAGAGCAAUAACCCGGAGACGAUAUCUGAGACACGAUAUCGGGCCCUACGGGGCGCAGCAGGCGCGAAAACUUCACACUGUGCGAAAGCACGAUGAGGGAAUCCCAAGUGCUUGCUCGUAAGAGUAAGCUGUUUCUCUGUCUAAAACGCAGAGAGAGUAAGAGCUGGGUAAGACGGGUGCCAGCCGCCGCGGUAAUACCUGCAGCUCGAGUGGUGGCCGCUAUUAUUGGGCCUAAAACGUCCGUAGCCGGUUUAGUAAAUGCCUGGGUAAAUCGUGUAGCUUAACUAUACGAAUUCCGGGUAGACUGCUAAACUUGAGACCGGGAGAGGCUAGAGGUACUCCUGGGGUAGAGGUGAAAUUCUGUAAUCCUGGGGGGACCACCAGUGGCGAAGGCGUCUAGCUAGAACGGAUCUGACGGUGAGGGACGAAGCCCUGGGGCGCAAACCGGAUUAGAUACCCGGGUAGUCCAGGGUGUAAACGAUGCGGGCUAGGUGUUGGGGUGGCCACGAGCCACUUCAGUGCCGCA
RNAcentral lists this ribosomal RNA (746 nucleotides) under uncultured archaeon. Its description in RNAcentral is "bacterial SSU rRNA". It matches the Rfam family "Archaeal small subunit ribosomal RNA", at positions 54 to 805 of the family's 1478-position model. The record is from RNAcentral.